UCUCUCACAAUUUCAUCAUGCUUCAGAAGCAUAAUGAAAUCAAAAUGAGUCAUUGUUUGACUCUUCUUGAUUUCAUAAUGCAUUGAUGUGGAACUUUAUCUGGGAUCCAUUACUUGAACUACUGCUGGUGUCUUCAGUGAAUCAUGGAAAACUCUUCAGGUGAGAAAGAUUAAAGUUUAUGUGCGUAUAUAUUGUAGAAACCCAGGCACAAGUCGGUGGAUGGAGACGUUAGUAGGAGACUUAGAACAUUAGCAAUAACAUAAGAUAAUUGAAGUCACCAGCUUGGCCGAGUGGUUAUAAGUCGCCAGACUUAAGUUUUCGUCUCUUAAUAGAGACGUGAGUGCGAUUCUCACACCUGGUAGCUUUCUUGUCCUUAUCAAAUGUGGUAUUCAUUUAAUAGAGUUACCUUAAAUCAUAAGAUAAAUAGAAGUUUAUGAUUGAAAUAUGGAACGAGAAAGGUGAGGUUAGACCGUAAUCUCCGUAUUCCAUUUGUACACACUGAGCAAGAGAUGACAUGGUCAUGAGCGAGAUGUUACCUUUUUUCAAGUGCAUCUGUGUUUAACAUCUGCAGGAAUUUAAAAAAAAAUUGUCCAUAAACAGCUUAAUUAUGUGUUACACGUUAUUAAACGUCCGCUCGGGAUCGUAUCGACCCCUCUCAACAUGCGCAGCAUUUACCUCUUCAUGAUAAUUGGUUCUGUGUGGCCUGUUUCUAAAUGGAUGGUGCGAAGAGGAAGUUGGCGAAAUCGAUCAGAUAAUCAACGCUUAUCGCGUUCCCAAUAAUAGAAUUUAUCCCCACCUGGCAUAUGCUUUUUUUCUUAAUUCAUUUUGCUGUAAUGAUCACGCCAUAUUUGAAAACAUUAGGUCAACUUUACCCAAAGAAACCGAUUACGACAAGAAACAUUUAUGUGCUCUGGUACUUUAGUUGGGCCAAGAAAAGUUUUAACAGCCGCUUCGUACUUUGAACGGUUUGAUUCGAAUACAUUUCAGCCAACCUUUUUCACACCUGUCACACGGAUGAACAAAGAAAUUCUAGGCGGUCCGUACACAAUAUGGCGGAACGUUAUCCGUGUCGUUAAGCAUAUCCGCAGUACAAUCCAGCAAACGCCGGUAAUCACGACAAUAUUGCCGUUGUUACACUGGACUUAGAAGUGCGCGCCAGCUCUGUCACUCCCGUCCAGUUGGGGUACACAUUAUUCCCGAGAAUCGGAAUCUCCUCAUAAUUUGGCUCAAGCGGUUAAACAAAGCAUUGAGUUUGAGACAACAGUUUGCCAUCUUCGAAGACAAGCACCUUUGAUUUGUCAUUUAGGGUGCAUUUUAUCGUCAACUUUAUGGCAACAGCGCUCGAUUUUUAACUCGGUUUCCUAAGUCAGAGAAAAUAUUUUAACGGAGUGACCACGUUGCUCAGUCUCUCCAACUGCAUUCAACUGUUCAUAUUGCUUAGUCUAUCAUAUUGCAAGCCUAUUAAUUGCCUUUAAUUCAGGUAAUUCAUCCAUAUUGUCUGGGAAGGCAAUAGUUGGUAAGUCAUUAACCAUUACAAAAUGGAAAAAUUUUCUUUUUGUAUUAAGCAAUAUGGCAUUGCAGUCCAAGUGUCCAGAUUUGGUGAUUCUAUUCAACAGCAUUCCAUUGUCCACCUUGCUGAGCUUAUCAAGUACAAUCCUGCUUAUUGCCUUGGCAUCAGUUAUUUCAUACACAUUGUCUGAAGGCAGUAGUUGGUUAGUCAUUGGCCAUUACGUUGAACUUGAAAUGGUUCAUUUACUGGAAUUGUCGAGUGCCAUGUACACAUUUUUUUAAAACAGAACUUAGUCUUCACUUAAGUGAGCACGGAAUGGCACAAUGAAUUGGUCGGUCAAAAUUAUCAUGUAGUACACUAAUUAAAUCAUAACGUUUCAAGCUGACAUCCAAUUCUCACUUUGUAGGUAUUCAAAUCACCAUCUGCUACUGAUUUAAAUUUGAAUUCCAUCAGUGUUAGGGAAUUAGAUCAGGAUUUAUCGAUAUUUAUUGCUGACAAUCAUAUACACACAAAACGGUUGAAUACGUCAAGGUUGACAUGCCUCCCAUAUAGUACAUUUCUACCGUUGGAUGUCCGAAUCAUGGCAGAACAUUCGUUAGAUAUCUAUGUUCUCAAUGGGUAGUUCCAGGGAUGUCCGUCGGCUAGUCGCCUUGGAAGUGCAAUGGAUGUGCGAAAAUUAUAUUAUACGG
RNAcentral lists this transfer RNA (2199 nucleotides) under Daphnia magna. RNAcentral's name for it is "uncharacterized LOC116925014, transcript variant X5". Lineage: Eukaryota; Metazoa; Arthropoda; Branchiopoda; Diplostraca; Daphniidae. The record is from RNAcentral.